Molecule: ribosomal RNA, 1444 nt
Filed under: uncultured organism
Description: SSU rRNA
Rfam family: Bacterial small subunit ribosomal RNA
Source: RNAcentral
UACAGGCUUAACACAUGCAAGUCGAGGGGCAUCAGGAAGAAAGCUUGCUUUCUUUGCUGGCGACCGGCGCACGGGUGAGUAACACGUAUCCAACCUGCCCUUUACUCGGGGAUAGCCUUUCGAAAGAAAGAUUAAUACCCGAUAGCAUAAUGAUUCCGCAUGGUUUCAUUAUUAAAGGAUUCCGGUAAAGGAUGGGGAUGCGUUCCAUUAGGUUGUUGGUGAGGUAACGGCCCACCAAGCCUUCGAUGGAUAGGGGUUCUGAGAGGAAGGUCCCCCACAUUGGAACUGAGACACGGUCCAAACUCCUACGGGAGGCAGCAGUGAGGAAUAUUGGUCAAUGGGCGCUAGCCUGAACCAGCCAAGUAGCGUGAAGGAUGAAGGCUCUAUGGGUCGUAAACUUCUUUUAUAUAAGAAUAAAGUGCAGUAUGUAUACUGUUUUGUAUGUAUUAUAUGAAUAAGGAUCGGCUAACUCCGUGCCAGCAGCCGCGGUAAUACGGAGGAUCCGAGCGUUAUCCGGAUUUAUUGGGUUUAAAGGGAGCGUAGGUGGACUGGUAAGUCAGUUGUGAAAGUUUGCGGCUCAACCGUAAAAUUGCAGUUGAUACUGUCAGUCUUGAGUACAGUAGAGGUGGGCGGAAUUCGUGGUGUAGCGGUGAAAUGCUUAGAUAUCACGAAGAACUCCGAUUGCGAAGGCAGCUCACUGGACUGCAACUGACACUGAUGCUCGAAAGUGUGGGUAUCAAACAGGAUUAGAUACCCUGGUAGUCCACACAGUAAACGAUGAAUACUCGCUGUUUGCGAUAUACAGUAAGCGGCCAAGCGAAAGCAUUAAGUAUUCCACCUGGGGAGUACGCCGGCAACGGUGAAACUCAAAGGAAUUGACGGGGGCCCGCACAAGCGGAGGAACAUGUGGUUUAAUUCGAUGAUACGCGAGGAACCUUACCCGGGCUUAAAUUGCAGUGGAAUGAUGUGGAAACAUGUCAGUGAGCAAUCACCGCUGUGAAGGUGCUGCAUGGUUGUCGUCAGCUCGUGCCGUGAGGUGUCGGCUUAAGUGCCAUAACGAGCGCAACCCUUAUCUUUAGUUACUAACAGGUUAUGCUGAGGACUCUGGAGAGACUGCCGUCGUAAGAUGUGAGGAAGGUGGGGAUGACGUCAAAUCAGCACGGCCCUUACGUCCGGGGCUACACACGUGUUACAAUGGGGGGUACAGAAGGCAGCUAGCGGGUGACCGUAUGCUAAUCCCAAAAGCCUCUCUCAGUUCGGAUCGAAGUCUGCAACCCGACUUCGUGAAGCUGGAUUCGCUAGUAAUCGCGCAUCAGCCACGGCGCGGUGAAUACGUUCCCGGGCCUUGUACACACCGCCCGUCAAGCCAUGAAAGCCGGGGGUACCUGAAGUACGUAACCGCAAGGAGCGUCCUAGGGUAAAACUGGUGACUGGGGCUAAGUAA